CAGCCGCCGCGGGAAUACGGAGGGAGCUAGCGUUGUUCGGAAUUACUGGGCGUAAAGCGCGCGUAGGCGGUUACUCAAGUCAGAGGUGAAAGCCCGGGGCUCAACCCCGGAACUGCCUUUGAAACUAGGUGACUAGAAUCUUGGGGAGGUCAGUGGAAUUCCGAGUGUUGAGGUGAAAUUCGUAGAUAUUCGGAAGAACACCAGUGGCGAAGGCGACUGACUGGACAAGUAUUGACGCCGAGGUGCGAAGGCGUGGGGAGCAAACAGGAUUAGAUACCCGGGUAGUCCCUGUCUCUUAUAC
This 301-nucleotide ribosomal RNA is filed under the name uncultured bacterium. Its description in RNAcentral is "partial 16S ribosomal RNA". It matches the Rfam family "Bacterial small subunit ribosomal RNA", at positions 509 to 807 of the family's 1533-position model. The record is from RNAcentral.